CCUCGGCGGGAUCUCUGCCCCGGGUGCGUCGCAGCCCCGGACCAAGGCGCCCGCCGGAGGACCAACCAAAACUCUUAUUGUAUACCCCCUCGCGGGUUUUUUUAUAAUCUGAGCCUUCUCGGCGCCUCUCGUAGGCGUUUCGAAAAUGAAUCAAAACUUUCAAACGGAUCUCUUGGUUCUGGCAUCGAUGAAGAACGCAGCGAAAUGCGAUAAGUAAUGUGAAUUGCAGAAUUCAGUGAAUCAUCGAAUCUUUGAACGCACAUUGCGCCCGCCAGUAUUCUGGCGGGCAUGCCUGUCCGAGCGUCAUUUCAACCCUCGAACCCCUCCGGGGGGUCGGCGUUGGGGAUCGGCCCUGCCUUGGCGGUGGCCGUCUCCGAAAUACAGUGGCGGUCUCGCCGCAGCCUCUCCUGCGCAGUAGUUUGCACACUCGCAUCGGGAGCGCGGCGCGUCCACAGCCGUUAAACACCCAACUUCUGAAAUGUUGACCUCGGAUCAGGUAGGAAUACCCGCUGAACUUAAGCAUAUCAAUAACCCGGAGAGAA
This 542-nucleotide ribosomal RNA is filed under the name Trichoderma harzianum. RNAcentral describes it as "eukaryotic LSU rRNA". The stretch from base 155 to 306 matches the Rfam family "5.8S ribosomal RNA". Lineage: Eukaryota; Fungi; Ascomycota; Sordariomycetes; Hypocreales; Hypocreaceae. The record is from RNAcentral.